UGCCAGCCGCCGCGGUAAUACGGAGGGUGCAAGCGUUAAUCGGAAUUACUGGGCGUAAAGCGCGCGUAGGCGGUUAUUUAAGUCGGAUGUGAAAGCCCCGGGCUCAACCUGGGAAUUGCAUUCGAUACUGGGUGACUUGAGUACGAGAGAGGGAGGUAGAAUUCCACGUGUAGCGGUGAAAUGCGUAGAUAUCGGAAGGAACACCAGUGGCGAAGGCGACUUCCUGGGCCAAUACUGACGCUGAGGUGCGAAAGCGUGGGGAGCAAACAGGAUUAGAUA
Molecule: ribosomal RNA, 279 nt
Filed under: uncultured bacterium
Lineage: Bacteria
Description: partial 16S ribosomal RNA
Rfam family: Bacterial small subunit ribosomal RNA
Source: RNAcentral